This 329-nucleotide ribosomal RNA is filed under the name uncultured eukaryote. RNAcentral describes it as "partial 18S ribosomal RNA". It matches the Rfam family "Eukaryotic small subunit ribosomal RNA", at positions 1470 to 1796 of the family's 1831-position model. The record is from RNAcentral.
CCCUUAGAUGUCCUGGGCCGCACGCGCGUUACACUGAUGCACUCAACGAGUAUAUAACCUUGGCCGAGAGGCCUGGGUAAUCUUGUUAACUUGCAUCGUGAUAGGGAUAGAUUAUUGCAAUUAUUAAUCUUGAACGAGGAAUUCCUAGUAAUCGCAGUUCAUCAAACUGCAGUGAUUACGUCCCUGCCCUUUGUACACACCGCCCGUCGCACCUACCGAUUGAAUGGUCCGGUGAAGCGUUCGGACCGUGGCCUUUGGACGGUUCGCCGUCUGUUGGCUGCGGGAAGUUCGUUAAACCUUAUCAUUUAGAGGAAGGAGAAGUCGUAACA